RNAcentral lists this long non-coding RNA (585 nucleotides) under Ananas comosus (pineapple). Its description in RNAcentral is "long non-coding RNA (ACOM_LNC030181)". Lineage: Eukaryota; Viridiplantae; Streptophyta; Magnoliopsida; Poales; Bromeliaceae. The record is from RNAcentral.
AUAUAAUAAUACUAUGAUUUAUCUGUGGUAUAAUUAAAAUACCUUGUCACUGCUACAUCAGCAACACAUCAAUUAUCAAGUCAACUAAGUUAAAUCAUGGAACUUGAUUAUAAUAAUUUUGAAAAACCUCGAACAAAAAAUUAUAGUAAAAUAAAGUUUGAGAACCAAAGCGUCAUGCGCUUUAUAUAUCUAUAUAUAUAGAUUGAGAUCUGGUUUCUCGCCAUUAAUCUUUUCCGUCGAUUUUCGCCAAGUUUUUUUUGCUGGAUCUUAAGCCUGUCGGGUUCGUCUUGCGCCACUUUAAAAGCGUGCCAAUAGGGUGGAACGUGGUCGUUGUAUCGCUGGAAGUAAUUGCCGGAAAGCCUCGCACGUGAAGAGACAAUUUCGCUUAUAGGACAGUGCUCUGCAUGCCUCGAUCCACAGAUCUUUUCUAAACUUUUUCUUUACAGCAUUUAUUAUUAUUUAUUUUUUUCCUCAGAUCUUUUCUGAAACUUAAAUUAAACUUUCGAAUUGUUUUACAGAAUAUUGUAAUAAAAUAUCAGAAAGAUUUUUCCAUCAGCAAAUGUUAUAGGAACAAUUGGAAGAAGA